Molecule: ribosomal RNA, 301 nt
Filed under: uncultured bacterium
Lineage: Bacteria
Description: partial 16S ribosomal RNA
Rfam family: Bacterial small subunit ribosomal RNA
Source: RNAcentral
CAGUCGCCACGGGAAUACGUAGGUGGCAAGCGUUGUCCGGAAUUAUUGGGCGUAAAGGGCUCGCAGGCGGUUUCUUAAGUCUGAUGUGAAAGCCCCCGGCUCAACCGGGGAGGGUCAUUGGAAACUGGGAAACUUGAGUGCAGAAGAGGAGAGUGGAAUUCCACGUGUAGCGGUGAAAUGCGUAGUGAUGUGGAGGAACACCAGUGGCGAAGGCGACUCUCUGGUCUGUAACUGACGCUGAGGAGCGAAAGCGUGGGGAGCGAACAGGAUUAGAUACCCCUGUAGUCCCUGUCUCUUAUAC